Molecule: ribosomal RNA, 167 nt
Filed under: uncultured bacterium
Lineage: Bacteria
Description: partial 16S ribosomal RNA
Rfam family: Bacterial small subunit ribosomal RNA
Source: RNAcentral
UCCUACGGGAGGCAGCAGUGGGGAAUAUUGCACAAUGGGCGCAAGCCUGAUGCAGCGACGCCGCGUGCGGGAUGAAGGCCUUCGGGUUGUAAACCGCUUUCAGGAGGGAAGAAAAUGACGGUACCUCCAGAAGAAGGCCCGGCCAACUACGUGCCAGCAGCCGCGGU